AAAGGGAGACCUAAUUCAGGUAGGAGACGAAAAAAAAGUAGUCCCAACCAAGAAUCAAUCCCAAAAGGUCGGAGCGAGGUAUGAGGCUUUCAAACUAGGUUCUGGGUUCAUAAAAGACCUGAAUCAGGAACAAGGGCUAUUAGCUCAGGUGGUUAGAGCGCACCCCUGAUAAGGGUGAGGUCCCUGGUUCGAGUCCAGGAUGGCCCACCUGCACAGGUGGCAAAAACAAAGAAAAGAAGCUCCGAAUCAGCACCUUAUCUUACUUAUAUAGUAAGAGAGAAUGCUGGCUCUGAGUUCAGAGUCCAGAGGAACCUUGAAAACUGCAUAGAGCUAGGUGAAAAAGCCAAAAAAGAAGACCGCAAG
Molecule: transfer RNA, 363 nt
Filed under: uncultured Microcystis sp.
Lineage: Bacteria; Bacillati; Cyanobacteriota; Cyanophyceae; Chroococcales; Microcystaceae
Description: partial 16S-23S ribosomal RNA intergenic spacer
Rfam family: tRNA (bases 134-207)
Source: RNAcentral